UUGGUUUGAUACGGGUGGUCGGCUCCCUGCUUGAGCAGGCACGGCCACGCGUGCAUUCCUUUUCAGCUGUGCGGCAAGGCUUGUAUGGUCUUGAUCGUAUAAGUGGGUUUACUGUGUUGCAUACCUGAUCAACGGCAUCGUUUCGAUCAAAAGCGUAUCUUUUUCGUCUAGUGUUGCACCCGCACCAUUGGAUGAACCGUGUAGCAUUCUCUUUGAUCCAUACAAUCGACAUUCAUUGUUAGUUGUUUGGCCCAUUGAGCGUGUCUUGGUCCCUUGAAUAUGGAAGCCAAAGUGGGCACGGGAUCGCAAGAUCCGUUUAGUGCCCUAAUUGAGCGUUUUCGCUUCUCUUACACGACUGCCUCUCACGUAUGGCACGUCCCAGCGUGUUUGGCUAUGUCGAAGAGGAAUGU
This 410-nucleotide unclassified non-coding RNA is filed under the name Lessingia glandulifera var. peirsonii. Its description in RNAcentral is "partial external transcribed spacer". The record is from RNAcentral. Lineage: Eukaryota; Viridiplantae; Streptophyta; Magnoliopsida; Asterales; Asteraceae.